ACUUUUUUUUUUUUUUUUUUUUUGGGUUUAAGGGCAAAAUUCACUUCACCCCCUUGUGGUUUAGCAAUUUUUCACAUAACCCCCCUAUAGUUCUAAAAAUUAUAUAUAGCCCCCUCAUAAUUUAGAUUAAAGUAUCAAAUUGUCGAAAAUGAUCAUUUGUAACGGAACCUAUAAAAUGUCGAAAUUAUCUUUGUUUAAAGGGUAAAUUAUAUUUUACCCCCUAUAGUUUAGUAUAUUUGUACAUAACCCCCAUAUGGUUUUAAAAGUUAUACAUAACCCCCUCAUGAUUUAAAUUAAAGUGUCAAAGUGAUAGAAAUGAUCAUUCGUAACCAAACCUUUAAAAAUAUUGAAAUUACUCUUAUUUAAAAAUUAAAAUGGUUGAAAUGACCAAAAUAUAUAAAUAUAAUAUAUAUGACGCACUAACCCAGUAUGAUUUUAUAUUUUACCAUAUAACCCUCUUAUAAUUUAAUACUUUACCAUAUAACCCCUUAUAGUUUUCAAAAUAUACACAUCACCCCAUUGUGGUUAGUAAAUAAUUUUCAACUUUACAUAGGAGUAUUUUUGACAUUUUAGGUGACUCCGUUUUGGAUUGUAAAUCUCGUUACUUUGACACUUUAAUCUAAACUAUGAGAAAGUUAUGUAUAGUUUUUGAAAUUAUAGGGGGGUUAUGUGAAAAAGCGCUAAAUCACUGGGGGGUAAAGUGUAUUUUACCCUUUUUAUUAAAGUGAUAGAUUUUUAAUCCAAAACCUUCUACUUACAAUCCCUUUCAUCUUACCAUCCAAUUCAACCCUAUCUAGGGGACUUCACAAUCUAAUUGCGGCGUAGAACAAUUAACUCACAUCUCUAGGUACACGCCAUGUAUAAAACAAGUUCAUCUAUUAUUAUGUUUAGAGUUUAAAACUGUUGAAACUUGUACAAUGUUGUAUUGAAACUUGUAGAUCUAUACGCAUUAUACAAUGUUGUAUUGUGGUGUACUUUUAAUAUCAAAUUAAUAAAUUAAAUUCACAGAUAAAAGAAGUAAACUAACAAUUUUAGUACACCACAACAAUAUAAAUAGUCACUAUUUAGAUAGUAGUGAACAUUCUAAGAAACAGUUCUAGUGAAACACUCAAAAUUAGACGUUAAUUCUUGAACUCUUUUAAUUGAGUCUCAAACAUGCAAAUCUUUCAAGCACUCGAGCUCUCUAACUCUCUCUUACAAACUGAAGAAAAAGCACCUUUUUCCUCGUCUCAUGUAGUGCAUUGCAGUCUGAGAAUCUAGCGGAGAUCAUGCUCAAAUCUGAAAAACCUUUUUGGGGUCAAGCUGUCUAACAUGCUAAAUAUACCAUAAAUGUUUAUAGAACAAAAGCCUUCUAAACUUUUAGUCAUUGAAUGUGGCCAACAGCUUCACUGUUCCACAUUUACAAAUUGUUAAUAAUCAUGUCAGAGGGUCACUGUUGUAACUUUAAUAUACAAUACAAAAUGUAGAGUGUGGCUCCUGAUCCAAUUAAUUAGAGACAGCAAAAAUAAUUUUGUCACGAUGGAUGGCUACAAUAAUGAAAUAAAAAAAUAUUCAUUCUCACAAGAAAGGAUGAAAAAUGCAGAGUAAUUUGUUCCGAUGAAUUUGAAAAUAUCUGAAUUUAUGUACAUGCGGCACGUGCAUUAUUUUCUUGUUUUGUCCCCGUUACUUCACCAAAUCCAAUGAAAUUGGAAAUGGAUGUUAGGAAAUUCGAUUUAUUUUUCAUCUAGAUUGUGUGGCAAGUAAGUAAUUUCAAACAUUUUCUAUUUAGUAUUUACUUCAAAUAGUCAUUAAGAAAAUUUCUAUAUACAUGGGUUUCGUAAGCAUGUUAAGUCGUUCAAUUUCAUUAGUCGGGCAAUGGUUAAGCAACGCAUUCUAUAAAUAGGUGGGGAGUGGCAACACACAAAAGGAGCCACGUGGUCUUAUGCAUGAGGUAAAAGAAGUUAUACAAAGGUUAAAUUUGAGGUUCAAGUCGUAUUCUUAUUUGAGGUUCUUCCCUUAUAAUAAAGAAUAGGUGUUCUUUCCCUAGUCAUAAGUUCUAUAAUUGAAUCAAACCAGGUUAAAUAUUUUCUAUCACUCUUAUUUCAUGCGGUGGUUUGGUGUCAUUAAAUAGUUAAGUUCUUGAUUGUUCAAUAAUUAUUUAUUUUGCAUCGUGGAUCCCAACAACAGGCAUCAGAGCAUAGUUGGAUCGGAUUAAAUAUUGAUAUCAAAUGAAUUUGUAACAAUUAUCAAUUUAACAAUUUAUAAUAGGGUCAACACCAUUGUUCAAGAAAGUUUGGUAGGGGAAAGGAUUGGAAGCCAAAUAACGUCUCAAUAAAAGAAAAUAGUGGAGUCCAAUGUAACAUUUGAAUCUAAUCCAAUGGAGAGAUGUUUUCACAAUUUUCAAAUAUGUGUACUUCGCCUGGCGCUUGGAUUUUAGCUAUUGGUUGUAGCCAUUCUUUGGUUCGUGUGGUGUAUGUCCAUAGGCACAAAAAAUUUAAAUUUCCAUGCGUUAAUAGGCUCUAAAUGCUGGGCGGAUUUUGUUAGAGGAUUAAAAACUACACACACGGCGAGAUACCUCUGCUGAAAGUAUAGCUGUCAAACAAAGCUGUCAAACAAACCCAUGUAACUGAUUUAUCCAAAUUUGUCCAUGAAUAGAUGAGUAUGGGUAUUUUAAAUUUUUGUAUAUGGGUAUAAAUGGGUUACCCAAUAAUACUCAUUUAUUAAAUAAAUAUUAUUGGGUAACCCAUCAAAUCCAAUUAACCUAUUUAGAAUUGUUUUCCUCCAAAUCUCCUCUCUUCCCCUACCCAUUUUUUUUUUUCAAAAUUUUUAUUUUGUCAUGAUAUUAACUACUUUUGUCUCAUUAUUAUUAUUAUUGUCGGUUUUAUCUUAUCAUUUUAUUUUCUCUUAGUUUGUUAACUUGCUCAUUUUUCAGCAUUACCAAUUUAUGACAAGUUUUAGCCUUUUUUCUUGCUUUUCCAAAAUGAAAUUUUAAAUUUACAUACAAAAAAAUGAUAGAGGUUCAAAAUUUUUUGAUUAAGUUUUUAUGUUAACUUUCAUAGUACUUAGUUCAGAUUUUUAUAUUGUCAUUGUUUAAUUAUUAAAUAGUAUGUAAUUUUGCGACAUAGAGUACGGAUGGAAAACAAAUUGACAAUUAGUUUUAUUGAGUAUUAUAAGUAAAUAUUUAAAACUAAUGAUGUGUACAAAGGAUGGUAUAAAUUGAUAACUUAGUUUGAAAAAAUGAAUUUACAAAAGUUAAAAUAAAUGGGUAAUUGGGUUACCCAAUUCAUUUUUUGACUUACCCAUUUAGACCCAUCUAAUUAAAUGGAUAUAUGUGGGUUGACUUAUUUAUACCCAUUAUGCAUUUUACCCAACCCAAAUCCGACCAAAUCACCCAUUUUGACAUCUUUAGUUGAAAGGGAAGAAGUAUGGUUACCUCAAUGGUUGAAAGUGUAGUUUAGGAAAGGGAUAAUUUCAGAAAUCUCCUUGAGGUUUCUAAUAAUUUCACUGGCCUCCAUUGAGAUUUAUAAAAUUACACUUACCUCCCUUGGUAGAAUUGUGGGCCCAAUUACUUACACCAUAUUGGGGAAAAUUACUCAUAUACCCUAAAACAUUAUGUCUUAUAGAAACUAAUAUCUAACGAUUGAGUAAUUAGAGCACUAAUUAACUAUUAAUAACUAAUUAACAGAAAUAACGGUUGAGAAUUUCUUUAAUGAUGAAUAGUGAUUUGCAAUUAUAAAAUAAGGCCAAUUGAUAUACCAAAUGACAUAAUUUUAUGAUUGAUAGAACUUGAUAAUGAUCAGAAACCAGUUGUACACAAUAUGAGAAGAAGAACUCUAAUAGAAAAAAAACACAAGGCAAAAGAAGAUUGUUCAUGAGAAAAUUUUCUUUGAAACUUUUAAAACUGUAAUAGUUGUAAAGCAAUUUUGUAGAAGUAAAGGAGAAAGAAGGGAAAAGAAAGGCAAAAUUCAAAAAAAUUUUAUGUUCAAAAUCACAAGAAUCAUAGCAAAUUUAAUGUUAAGAGCAAUGAUUGGUCUAUUUUACUGAAUCUUAUGAUCAUUAGUUUAGUUUUAUUGUUUAUUUGUAUUGUCUAAUAUAUUGAACAUGAACUUUUUCAGUAAUGAAAUGUGUGUUUUAAUUGUUUCUAAUUUUUAAUUGUUUUCAUUUUUUUACUAAUACAAUUUAUAUACAUAAAUAAGUGGUAGUUAUGGGAUAAAAGUUUCAUCUCUCUCCUUAAAAUACCUUUUUAAUGUCACUUUUUCUGAUUUGGACUAAUUUUGUUACUAAAACAUUAAACUCAGGGGAAGUUUAUGUAAUUUGACAAACCUCAAGGGAGGCUAGUGAAAUUGUUAGAACAUGCAGGGAAUGUUUCUGAAAUUAUCCCUUUAGGAAAAGGAAUCCAAAGUUGCUUCCAAAUUAUAAGUGGUGGCAAAAAGGAGAAUCUUACAAACAGAUACUCCCUCCGUCCCAUUGAAACUGUCAUGCUUUCCAUUUUGGUCUGUCCCAAAAUGUUUGUCACAUACUCAAAAUGGAAAACAAAAAUUCUCUUGUUUCAAUUUUUACCCUUCAAGAUUCCCUCACUCUUUACUUUUAUUAGUGGGGCCCUUUGAUUUUCAUUUGCUCUCAACUCAAGUUGCAAGACAUCCGUGAGAUACACACAAGGUUUAAAGUGAUGCGUGAGAAUCACUCUCUGUUGGCGGAUUGCAUUUCUUGUAAGUAGUUUUGGCCCCACAUGUCAUUUUUGUCUCCUUAACCACUAAUGACCACACAUUCUAGUGGCAAAAUCGGAAAACAAAUCUGAAACUUAACACUGUGCAUAAAACGUUCAGCUCCCAAAGCACGACAAAGUUUUCGGGACAGAGGGAGUAAUAAAUUGAGCAAUGAUUGGGCCUUGGUCCAAUGAUUAGGGAGAGUCUAUUAAAACUCUCUCGUAUACUAGGUUGAGAGGUUUAAACUUUGCCAAAUGCAUUACAAGGAAGUGUAGUGCUUACUUGUUCUUAAAAAACUAGAGGUACUUGAACUGUGCAAAGCACAGUUUGAGCCCCCUAGAAAUUUAGUCGAAUGCAUAGCAUCAAAUUAUUUUGCCACAUGAUGAAUGAAUAGAAAUAUAGGAGAAAAAUUGAGCAUCAAAGCAAUUAAAAUUGACAAAUAUUAUUUGAACUCUCAUUUUUGUUAAUCAUACUUCCGCUAUUAUUUUUAUCAUAUAGCUUUUGUUUAUUAUAGGAAUAGAAUUAACAAAAUAUGGAGAAUAAAUAAAAUUUCUCUCAAAAUUUGUUGUAAAGAGAAAUCCCAUCUAUGAAUUCAACCUCCCUAUUUAUUGUGAUUUGAAUAAAGAUUUUUGAACCACUAUUAUAUGAUACCCAAAAAGGAGAGAAAAUUAAUACACUAUAAGUGCAUUGAUGUAUUAAUAGUAGUAUAGUUUUAGUUAAAACUAAAUCAAAAGCAGUCAUAAUACUUUUAGUACUUUAAUAAUGAGAAAAAUUUUAGGAAGCUGCUAAAACAUGGCACAAUCUUCAACAUCAAUAUAGCUUACUAUAAACUUUCAUAUUUUUCUUUCUUUUGAUAGAAGAAUCUAGUUCAUCUAUGUAAAUUCCGCCUAAAGGUAACAACAUUAUCCUGCAGCUCCAGAAUAUAAAUAGUAAGAUUAGAUAAAAAUAUGAAUUGCUAUGUUUCCUGAUCUACAUAUACAAAUUAGAAUUGAACUAUUUUUUAUUGCAAAACCAUCUUCCUAAUCAAAAUUGAAUUUUCUAACAAUUUUUUGUCAAGUCAUAUUCUAGGCCGAAACCCUCAAUUGUGACUUCCACCACUGACUGCAAUCCUUGUAUACCAACCCAAUUGAUACUACAACACUUGAGUACUUAAAAAACAAACAAAAAUUAACUUUAUUUUAAAUAUAUACAAAAUCUUAUUGGAUCCUUCAAUUAAAUUGAAUAGGCCAUAAAGUAAUUGCAAAAAGAAAGAAAUGGAGAAAAACGGAGGUACAAGAAUGCCUAGCUAGAUUUAUCUUAGUGGAAACAUCACAUGAUAUAUCUUUCUCCUAAAAAAAUACACAAAAUUGUAGAUAAUUACAAAAUGGAACCAAAAAAACAAAGCAAAGGAAACAAAAUGUGACGUCAGAAAUCAAAUCAUGGGAGGAGAAAAUAAAAGAAUGAAUUUUUGUUCUAUUAUUCAUAGAAAAUGAUCAUUGGUAUAAAAUGAAUUCUAAGAUAUUUUAAUAUUUCACCUUUUAUCCAUGAAGAACUACCAAAUAAAAACAUCAUCCUAUAAAUUUAACAAACAAAUGCCAGUUGGCUAUAACAUUAUGAUAAAAAAAUAGAGCAAACAUGAGAGAUUAGAGAUGAAGAAAAAAGGAAGAAAAGAAAAUGUAAAAUGGGAUAAAAAUAAUAAAGAAUUCUUUUUGCUAAGUAGCUAUCAUCUUGACAAAAAAAAAAAAAAGAACAUGGCAACAAUCUUAGUUAGAUUAGUUUUAAAAAAUAAAAAAUAAAAAAAGUGGGGGAUGACAUUAGUUACUGCAAGAAGAAAAAGAAGAGAUGGAGUUGAUUUUCUUAAGGAGAAAAAAUAUUUUAAUCCUUUAACCCAAUUGGAUCAAAAAUGGGAAGGAAAAAUUUAGGUAAAAUAAUCAAAGGUCCACUUGUCAAAAAUAUAUGCAUUACAUGUGUCAAAAAGAUGGUUAGCUACAGUAACUUGAAUUUCUUUUUAUAUACAAGGUAGAUCUUACUGCACUUGUUUGGUCUGGUAGGCUAGUGUAGAAGUUCCGGUGCUUUUUUAGACUCCCCUUCCCUACAGCAUAGGGUAGUGUAGAAGUUCUGAUGGCUCAUCUUAAUGUAGAAAUAGAGUAAAUGUUCCUGCUAAUGACCAAUAAAAGAAAGAUAAUAAAUUGAGCCAUCUCACAUGAGUCAACUUAGUGUAGUUUAAUUGGCUCAUCUAAGUGAAGUUUAAAAUUUUGAACUCCUAAUUAUCCAAACAUAUCUUAGUGUAUUGUGCGUUUAUCUUAUAUGUAAUGACUACGGUAUCACAGUUACACACGUAUGACAUGUACACCAUAUUUUAAUUUAAAAUUUAAAUUCAGUUUAAUUAUCAUGCAUUCACUGGUGACAAAAUAUACGUGGUCAAUGUUAGAAUGCUAAUCUAUGUAUACAGACUUAAAUUCAUAAAAUUUCUAGUGAUAUAGUUAUAAUUUCAUAAGGACCGGUGUUUUGACACAAAAUCGAGAUCAAAUUUAUAAAUUUAGAUCAUAAAAAGAUUUGGAAUAACAUGAUUGGGAGCUCACAACUAUGACUAAACCUACUAUAGUCUUCUUUGGAAGGUAAUUUUUCACCAAAUUUUUUUUUAAUAUUUUUCAAUCACUUUUUUAUUUUACAUACAUCAAGUCACUAUAGUAUAUUUUUCUAUAAAAUUCCCUAAAAAUAACAAUGUAAAGGGGUAAAUUUUUGUGAAUCCAAUUACUCAAAAAAAAAAUAAAGUGGAAAGAAUUGAAAUAUCAGCAUCACCACCUACCUGCCCCCCGGCCACGGGGCCCGUGUGAUGUCACAGGACUGUUACGGACAUUCGGUAGUCCAAUUAACGGUGGGGUCGGUCGUUCGUCGUAGCCUUCCACUGGACUCUACUGCAGCGGGGCCCCAAGGGAUGUGGUUUCGUAGUCGAAGCUGAGUCAGGAUGGACCCCACCACCUGUAAAAAAAUAAAAAGUAUCCGAAAAGAACAGCCAGCGAGCGAAUCCAAUGCUGCCGUUGUUUGGUGGGAUUGAAAUUCAAUCGCCAAUUCACUGCAGGCAACAAUGCGCAGCCCUAUAACACUGCAUGUAUAGCCCCCAAGUGAAUGGGCUGGUGGUUGGCGCCUCUUUCUCGGGACCGUUAGGUCCUGGGGUUGAACCUCCGCAGCAACAUCGGUUUUUCCGUGCAUCUAACGUGCUAGAUCUGGUUGGGGCGCUGGGCCCGGCCGGAUUGGGAUUAGUCGGGCCACCUUUACGGACUUGACCCGGACACUCACUCCGUCGACAAAAAAAAUAAAAAAAUAAAAUAAAAUUACACUGCAUGUAUAGUUUCAUUUUCAUAAUCUUGGUUGGGGAAUUAAUUCCCUUUUAGUCCUAGUAUGCAAUACUGCUGUCUUGACGAUCCGUAUUAGUAUAAAUUUCCUGAGGCCUAGGGAAUAUUUUAGAAUAUUUUAUUUUGGAGUUAUUUUUUGUUUCUUGGGUGGAGGGUAAGGAGGGACUAGAAAAGGAAUUAUGACUAAUUUAAGUUCUUUAUGCUGAUGCAUUUUGGGGCAAGGAUUGCUUUAGAACCCCAAAUAUCCAGAUUUCGACUCCUUCAAUAAUAACUUUUGAAUCCCCAUAAGAUGAGAAGCUUAGUCUAAUAAUAAUAUUGGCGGAAUCCAUUAGCCCAUUGGUUGUCCAGCCCAACGGAGUAUCCAACUCAAAUGCCAGUCUAAUUACUUGACUGAGGAUUUUAGAAAUUAGGGUUGUGGAUUGGCAAAAGUUUGUGGACCUAUGGAAAAAGAAUACUGUAGUGUAUUUGAUGAAACAGCAAAAUCAAAACUGAAACUAAAUAUGAUUUAAUUCAAUAGUUAAAAUAGACAAAUCUUAGAGCUGUUACGACAAGAUAAUAUACACAAAAUUAUGUAGAAAUUUAUUGGUAGACUUCUUCAUGACCUACUCAUAAUCACUUCCUUCUCUGAAAUCUGAAUGCAUCAUAGCUUUCAUAGCACUUCAACAAGCAUUUUGUUAAGUAAGACAAAAUACUAUUCACAAUAGUAAUUUAGAAAGAAGUAAUUUUGAUGGAACUUUUAAAUACCAUAAAGGAUAUGCAGAGGACAGGGCAAAACUAGUUAAAAGUAUUGGCUUUGGAUAGGGUAUUAUUUGAAAUAUUAUUUGGAAUAAUUACUAUAGCACUUUUUAUGAUGUGAUGUAUGCGAGAUAAAAAAAAUGGUUGGAAAUAUAAAAAAGAUGGAUUAAAAAAUGUGUUUAUGAUGCAAGCGAAAUAUUAUUUGAAAAUUUUUUUGUAUCCAUCAGUUUACGGGCAUUUCAGAACCCCAAAGUCGUCCCCGCCGAAUCCAAGAGGCCUCAGGCCUUGAAAAGAGGUCAGUCUUAAGGGAGACCAUGCGAAUGGUUGAAUUGAAUACACGUUUUAUCUUUAAUCCAAUCUAAUUAACUGAGCUUCUUUUAGAAUAGAACGGAUAAAGGAAGGAGCUAAGAGCUUUCCGCCAAGUUUUUUUUUGUCACUUUCUUCUUUUAUAAACUUCUUCGCUAAACUCAAUUCAAAAAAAGCUGUACUGACUAGCGUGAACUCACGGAUUGAGUUGUAAACGGUACCUUUGCUGGGAAAAAGCAGAUCAAUCAAGUUAAUCAAGGACGGAGCUGUUAGUGACGAUUGGCCCAGGGGCCCUUGGGCCUCAGGGCAUAGAUAGAUCAUAGGUGAGUACAAAUAGGCCCGUUAAAGACGAGUAAGCAGGGUGCGACGAAGCCCACGGGGUGGCACAUGGUCGUACUUAAAGGACGAACCACUGGCAUUACUUAACCAUGCCUUCUGCACUUAAAGGACUGCCCAUUUGUAACCCAUAGAUUAUCCUCCUACUUGGCUCAUUCUUACCCUCGCAUAGCUGAAAGCUAUUUUAUUUUUUUAAAUCCUUCCACUCCUCUCCGUACCAUUCCAAGGUUCAACUGUUAGGUACAGACUUUGAACUGAGCCUGAUAGCGGGAAGCCUGAGUUGAAAGCCAGUUACUCUCCACAAAGCAUACUCCAAUCAUACCACUCACUGCAUUUCCCUUGCGCCAUGUCUAGCUCAUUUUUUGGUUCAACCACGAGCGAGCAAAGAUGGGCUAAUCAGUUCAAUAAACAUUUCACCAUAUACAUUGAAAAUGAUGCCUCCAUCUUUCGUGUACCAAAAAAAGUAUGCGACACAAAGCCAGAAACUUAUGCCCCUCAGCAGAUAGGCCUAGGAGCAUAUCAUAACUUGAGGCCUGAUCUUGAUGAAAUGAACCGCAGAAAGCUUGAGGCUGUCAAGAUAUUUUUGAAGCCGGAACAGUACCGGAAUUUCAAAAGCCUAAUUGUCGACAAGGUCAAAGAGCUUGAGCCCUCAGUACGCGCUUGCUACAGCAAGUACUUGGACAUUGAUGGCGAUACUUUGGCAUGGAUCAUGUCUAUUGAUGGUGUAUAUUUGCUUCAUCGGCUGAGCACCUAUAGAUAUAAAGGAAGUGUUGAUUCGGAGGACAGGAAGUUUGCUCAGGACAUUGCAAUGUUGGAGAAUCAAAUGCCCGUGAUUGUGCUCGAAGAAAUAUUGAAGGCUAUUCAAGCUCCUGUUGAAGGUGAGGUGCAAGGUGCCGAUGAUGAUGAUGAAGCUGGUGAUGGUGAGGAUGAAGAAGAAGAUGACGUUGAGGAAGAGGAUGAAAGUGAGAACGAGGAAGAAAACAAGGAAAAAAAAUUAAAUCGAUUGUUUUUGUCAUUCUGUAAAGCACACACUCCCCUUGGCCUAACUGAUAAAGCAGGAAUUCUUGGCGAUACCUCUAAUCCUCAUCUUCUGAGUUAUAUGUAUAAUUUGAUUGUGAAAAAUCGGUCUCUUGGAGAUCAGUCUCCCGAAGUUCGUAUUCUUUUAUCUUCGGCACCAGUCGAGGUAGCUGAUCCAGUUACACAAGUUACACAGGCUGCAAGCGUUGCAGCUGAUUUGACGGGGCAGAAACCUCUGCAACUGUUAGCUAGUUUGCCACUGCAGCAGCUUGCUGAUCUUUUCAAAGAAGAUUCAGAAAAAGGAAACUCUUCAAUUGAAGAGAUCCAUAUCCCAUCAGCUUCCCAACUUGAUGCAAUUUGCAAAGUACAAUUUGAAGUCUGGAGUGAAGAUUCAGGCGUCAAAAUAAUGGAGCUUGAUAAAUUGAAUCGGGUAAUGUGCCUCCCCGUAAUUACUUUGAACACUGAUUCAGAAGUGAUAUUACGAAACCUGGUGGCUUAUGAAGUUGCCUCAGCUUCUCCUGGAUCUACCCUUAUACUUGCCGGAUAUGUGGAUUUCAUGUGCGGCAUUAUUGAUACUGCAAAAGAUGUAGAUUUGCUCAAGGAAAAAGGAAUCAUAGAAAGCAAUCUCCUGAGUGAAGAAAUCGCAGAAAUCUUCAAUGGGAUAAGCAAAUCUAGCAGUCAGCGUGCCCUUCCUGAAUUAGAAGAGGCUACUCAGGAUUUGAAUAGGAUUUAUGACAGCACUUUCAGAGUCAGAACUUGGAGAUUGAUAAGAGACUAUUUGAUUCCAUCUGUCAAACUCUUUUUUGCGAUAUUGGUGCUUUUGCUGCUCACAGUACAAUCAGUUUGCCAGGUUUAUGGCUGCAGUGCAAGUUCGCUUGGCAGGGUCAGUUCUAUAUGAUCAUUAUGGUUUUACAGAAAGUUCUUGUUUGCCUUCGGGUUUUGAUCUUAAAAUUAGAAUUUCGUGUUUGUCAAUUUGAGGAGGUGUUAAUUAUUGUUCUUUUGACUACAACCUAAUGAUAAGAGUACUAGUUUGGCAAAGACUUCUUUCUUUUUCUGUUUUUCAACGCAAAUAUAUUUUUUUUAUGCAUCAAACUAUAUAUCUCUUACAGUAUUAAUGAAGCAAAAUAGCAUACACAAGCACAAAUUUUGAUUCGAAAUUUUUCUUUGAGUAAAAUAUACUUAAGCAAGUUUUUCCGUAACGCUCUUGUGAUUUCAAAAGAUAUACAUAACCUCUCAUAAUUUGUACUAUAAUAUUAAAGUGAUGAAAACAAUCUUUUAUUGUGACACAUUUAUAUCAUGCAAUCGAAGAAAAAACACCUAAUUAAACUAAUAAGUUUGAGACGUCAGGCACCCUUUUUCCUCGUCUCAUUUAAUCGAAAAAACCUUUCUUUGGAUCAAACUAUCUAACAUUGCUACCUAAAUCAUAAAUAUAUAUAUAUAUAUAUUUAUAGGACAAAAGCCAUCUAGAGAAUAAUAAAGAAUAGGUGGUCUUUCCCUAGUCAUAAGUUUUAUAAUUGAGUCAAACCAGGUUAAAUAUUUUCUAUCACUCUUAUUUCAUGCGGUGGAUUGGUCUCAUUAAAUGGUUAAGUUCUUGAUUGUUCAAUAAUUAUUUAUUUUGCAUCAUGGAUCCCAACAAUUGGUAUCAGAGCAUAGUUGGAUCGGAUUAAAUAUUGAUAUCAAAUGGAUUUGUAACAAUUUAAUAGGGUCAACAUCCUUGUUCAAGAAAGUUUGGUAAAGAGCAUUGAAGGGGAAAGGAUUGGAAGCCAACAAACAUCUCAAUAGGUGAUAAAGGAUAAAAGAAAAUAGUGGAGUCCAAUGUAAAAUUUGAAUCUAAUCCAAUGGAGAUGUUUUCACAAUUUUCAAAUAUGUGCACUUCGCCUGGCGUUUGGAUUUUAGAUUUUGGUUGUAGCCAUUCUUUGGUUCGUGUGGUAUAUGUCCAAAGGACGCAAAAAAUUUAAAUUUCUAUGCGUUAAUAGGCUCUAAAGGCUAUGCGGAUUUUGUUACAAGGUGGAGCAUUACAAACUACACACACGGCGAGAUACCUCUGUUGAAAGGGAAGAAGUAUGGUUACCUCAAUGGUUGAAAGUGUAGUUUAGGAAAGGAAUAAUUUCAGAAAUCUCACUUGAGGUUUCUAACAAUUUCACUGCCUUUCCUGAGGUUUAUAAAAAUGCACUUACCUCCCUUGGUAGAAUUGUGGGCCUAAUUACUUACACCAUAUGGUAGGAAAUUACUUAUAUACCCUAAAACAUUAUGCCUUAUAGAAACUAAUAUCUAACGAUUGAUUAAUUAGAGUACUAAUGAAGUAUUAAUAACUAAUUAACAAAAAUAACUGUUGAGAAUUUUUUUAAUGAUGAAUAGUGACUUGCAAUUAUAAAAUAAGGCCAAUUGAUAUGCCAAAUGGCACUAUUUUAUGAUUGAUAAAACUUGAUAAUGAUUAGAAACCAGUUGUACACAAUGUGAGAAGAAGAACUUUGGUAAAAGAAAAAACACAAGGUAAAAGAAGAUUGUUUGUGAGAUAGUCCUUCUAGUGCAUAAUUAUUUGUGAGACAUUAAAACAAAACUGAUAAAGAAACAUAAUAUUUUCAACCCUUCACCAAGUAAUGCCAAGGGUAUGGUUGUUGACAUAAGGAAUUUCUGUUUGCAGACAGUAUUUCUAUGACAAUCUUUAUGUGUAAAGAGAUAGUUAUCCACUACUGAGAAGAACUUUUUUUUCUUUUUUCUUUUUUUUAUCUUCAACAGAAUUUAAAAGCUUGCAAGAAUUUUCCAUGAAAUUCACUAACCAUAUUUUUGAGAAUUCAGUAGUUCAAGAAUCUUGGUUUAAUUUUUGUGCCCUUCUUGUGCAGUACUAUUUAGGUUCAAAGUAAGGAUAAGAGCUUUUUAAGAGAAGAAAUGUAGCUUGGGCUUUCAGUAUUGUUCUUUCUUCCUUCUUUUUUUUUUUUUUGGAAUUUCUCUAUUUCUUCCAAAAGGAAAAAAAAUGAGGUGAAGAUUUAUUAGACGAAAAUGUCAGUUGCUAUAUGUGUCUAUAAAAGAAUCCCACCACCAAAUAUUCUUGUUCUUGCAUCAUCCAUCACUGUUCAAUUGUAAAAAUAGGAUUGGUUUUAACCACUUGCGAUAAAAUUAGGUCUUCAAUAUUGGUAGCAUCCAAACUGAAGCAAAUAUAUACCAUCAAGUUCCAGGUUCCUGUUAUAGCAAGCUCGGAUGGAGGGCUCAAUCGUUUUCAGCUUAUUAAUCAGAAGUUCUUCAAAAUUAUCAAGUAUUUCUGGCUGAACAAACCUUUUCACUACAGCAAUCUUCUGUUUCUGCACUCAAUAAAGCUCUGGGCGUAAACUAUGAUAGGUUCCUAUACCUAUUCGCUGAGGGACAUAAGCUUCUGGUUUUGUGUCACACUUUUGGGCUAUGUUUUCAGAACCGGACCGAGUAUCGACUCGGCCGAGGUCAGGGGUCAGGGAUCAAUGGGUUCGACCGGGGGUCGAUAGAGGUCGAACCGGAUAACGUCAUAAAUAAAAAUUAUUUAAAAAUUAAAAUAUUAUAUAUAAAAUAUCUAAUAAUAUGUUAAUAUUAAUAAAGGUAUAUUCAUAUAUAUUUGAUGUUUCAAAUAUAUUUAACAAGAAAAUACAAAAAAAUUAGAACAAUCAAGGAGCAAUUUAUGUUAUUUAAUAAAUAUUAACAAGUUUAGAAUUAAAAUUAUGAAUUUAAUUGAAAAAUAACAUCAAAUUUUGGGACAAUAUUUAUAAAGUAUGAAAUAUUUGAGGUAUAUUAAUAAGUUUUAACAAUUUAGGGGGUCAAAACAUAAUAUUGAAAAGAUUGAGUUCUUUUUUUUUAAAAAUGCCCAUUGAACAGAAAAACCGAUUUUUUCCCGGUCAAACCCAGUCAAAUUCAAUUUUUGACCGGCUUUGACCGAGCUUUAAAUUUCUGAUUUUUUACUAUGACUCGGACCGAACACUUGGCCGAUUUUCGGUUCGACCGGCUGGUCCGAUCCGAGUUUCAAAACAAAGCUUUUGGGAACUCCAAAAGCACAAUGAGGGAUGUCAAUGUGUAUCUUGAACUUUUUCCUGACCCGAUCAUCCCAGCGUUUCUCCCUUAAACCUCUGUUUUGAAACUCGGACCGGACCGGCCGGUCGAACCGGGAACCGGCCAGGUAGCCGGUCCGAGUCAUAUUAAAAAACCGGAAAUUUAAAAUCCGGUCAAAGCCGGUCAAAAACCGGGUUUGACCGGGUAAAAACCGGUUUUUCCGGUUCAACAGUGCUUUUUUAAAAAAAAAUUUUCAAACUUUUUAAUAUUAUGUUUUGACCCCCUAAAUUGUUAAAACUUAUUGAUAUACCUCAAAUAUUUGAUACUUUAUAAAUAUUGUCCUAAAAUUUGAUGUUAUUUUUCAAUUAAAUUCAUAAUUUUAAUUCUAAACUUGUUAAUAUUUAUUAAAUAAUAUAAAUUGCUACUUGAUUGUUCUAAUUUCUUUGUAUUUUCUUGUUAAAUAUAUUUGAAACAUCAAAUAUAUAUGAAUAUACCUUUAUUAAUAUGAAUAUAUUAUUAUAUAUUAUAUAUAUAAUAUUUUAAUUUUUAAAUAAUUUUUAUUAAUGACGUCAUCCGGUUCGACCCCUAUCGACCCCCGGUCGAACCCAUUGACCCCUGACCCCUGACCUCGGCCGAGUCGCUAUCCGGUCCGGUUCUGAAAACAUAGCCUUAAACUUGAACCAAGAAUUAAAUCAUUCAUCUUGUUGAUGAUUGCUGAGUAUUUCUUCAGGUUGUGGCUUAAUUAAUAUGCCGUAAUGCAAAAGCAUGUAAUUAGCUUUUUGACCUUUCAAAACAUUGCAAAGAAUCAGUUUUUGUCCCAAGUGUUUUGAUUAGAAAUUCUAAUCUACCUUUUUCUUGUUUGAAUACAGAUUAACCACUCUUUCCUAAAAAUUUUCUACCUCUAUAUGGGCACAAUCUCUUCAUGCUUAAUCAUCAAUCAUUCACGCUUUUGUUCAUGGGAUCAAGCUUGUGAAUGAAUAAGUUGAAGUACCUAAAUGUCAAAAAACAAAUGUAAAAUAAGUUUUACCACAUCUAGUUGAUCUUCAGAGUUAACCAAACAAGGGAACUAUAGGGGUUUAUUACUUUUCCUGAGAUUUAAUUGCGUAGAAACAAGUAAAAUGCUCAUUGAGCGCUAGUUCCACAAUCCCAAUUUUUUUUCAUUACCAUUUGGUACUAUUAAUCAUAACUAGACCUAAUCUACGACUAAAUCAUGCAUUAAAAAUACUUAAGAUAUACGGUUAAAAUUUUAAUUUGUGGAAGAGAAUAUGAUUAUCCACUGUCAGGUACCUUUUCAGCUGAUAGACAAAUGCAGUGCAGAAAGUAGGACAGUAGGACGACUACCUUCUUUGGCUCAUUUCCUCCCCUAGUGUCCAUCAGAUUCUCUAGGGAACUAGUGGGAAGAAAGCGAAAGCAGCAUAAGCACAGAAACAAGGAAACAGGGGCACAUGGGAAGUGCAGUAAACCUAAGCGCAAUGCCAAACAAUAACGCCUUUUUUAAUCGUCAAGUGGGAGGACGCAGUACAGAAACACGAGAUCGGAAACCAAAGCGCGAUGCGCGAACAACAUAACGCCUUCAAAACAGCGAAGGAAUCAGGUUGAAUCCAAUUGGCACUUUAUGUACUUAUGUUGAUAAACAACAAUAAUAAAGAAAACUUUAGUUUUUGAAAUAUAAAUCACUAAAAUGUAGAAUAGAAAAAGAAAGCAAAAUGAUAGGCAAGGGAAAAACAAGAAAGUCCAAAAAAAAGGGGAAAAAAAAAAGAAGGAAAGUAAAGAAUGGCAAAGUUCGACAAUAUUUUUUUCCCCCAGCUGAUCAUUGCUUCAUCCUUUCCUUUCUUAGCAAAAAAAUGUACCAUUCAAUAUGUUAAUCCUGAGUGUGUGAGAGGGAGAGGGAGAAAGAUACACCAGCUGGGGUGGAUGAAGAAACCACCAAAGUAGAAUCAAUUUCUUCCUCCACUUCUGUGGGAUGGAGCUGUUUCACUGAGGUUUUCUAUUCUUGUGCAUGUUCCUUUUUGGUCUUACAAAUAUUUUUGGGCUUUGUAAUGGGUUGAAGUUGAUGUGGUUAAGGGGCUUUUUAGGCCUCAUGCCUUUUUUUCGUUUGGUUUGAUUAGUUGGGACUUGGGACUUGUGAAACGCAGGUAGAAAUUACUUGGGACUUGGGACUUGGUUUGACUAGGGCUUUCUAGUUUUACUGGUUUGUAUGGUUGGACAAGUUUCUGCAGGUAGUUCCUCUUUAGUCUUCUGAAAAAUUACUUGAAUUUGAAAAAGGUAAGGCACUUAACAUAUGGGCCUAAUAAAACCUUGAGAAAAACUUUAAUAAAUGGGCCUGAAAAAUAGUAGGCCUUGGCCUCGACAAAAAGUUUACCAAUAAAUGCUUAGGAUGUGCAAUAUUCAUACCUUAUCUGGUUAAAGACUUAAGAGAGAAAUGCAAUUUUGAUUCUCAAUGUUUGGCCUAUAUUCUGAAUUGGACCCCAAUGUUUUAAUCAAAAUAAAUGUGGUCCACAAAAUUUUUAAUUUUGAGUAGAUUUAAGACAAUUGAUAGAAAUUCAACCAUUCCUAACGGUCAAAAUCAAAUUUCCAUUAGUCAACUAUUUUUGAAUUUGUAUUUAGAGUUUUCAAAUUUUUUAAUUUAAAUCAUUAUAGUCCCUUGAGUUUGGAAUAGUAACAUUGAGGGUUUUAGGAUGAAACUAAAUAUGAAUUGUGUUGAAAAUGUGCUAUAUUUACUAAAAAAUUUAGUAUCAAAAAGUAUGAAAUAACAAAAUAGACCUUUCUUCUUCAUUUUUUGCUUCUUUAUUUCAUUAGUUAUAUUACUAAUUUCUAAUAUAUUUCCUAUCUUUUGCAUAGUUGAUCUCAAAUUUGGCAAAAUAUAUCUAAUCAUACCAAUAAUCAAUUGAUAAUGGAUUUUACCAAUUUCACUUAUAUUGAUAAUUAAGCACUCAAUUUAAUAUCCCUUUAAAAUGAAACUAUAUGUAAAUUAAGUUGAUUGAAAAACAAUUUUUCCUUUUAGAUUUUUUUGGCAUUUCAAUUGGUUAUCAAUUAAGUCUCAAAUGAAUAGAUAUUUUAUAUAAUUGUUUAAAUACUUUAAUAAAAUCAACAUUGUAGGUGAAUAUACAUAUACAUACACACACACAUACACAUAUUAAAAUUUUAUUAUUGAAAUAUUUAAUUUAGAAGGAAAGUCAAGAAAAAACAACAAGCAGUCUUUUCAAUUGGCUUUGCGAGAAGGCCGCUUUGUACUUCACUCCGUAAUUACUUUUACACAUUAAUGUAAUCAUGAAUCUUAACCAUAACCGAUUGAAGCCCACCUCCACAAAUCAUGCGAUAAUUUAUAUAAUAGUGUUAGAAUAAAGUUAUAUACUAAAAAUUAGGAUAUUAUCCAUGUAUCAUUAUUCAUGAUACAUGAAUAAUAUCCAUGUACCAUUAAAAAUCACUACUUUUUAAAGAUAUUAUCCAUGUAUCAUUAUUCAAUUGUACUUAAUUCUACAAAGAAAUGUUUUUUAGGCUAAAAGAUUGUGUUGCGUCAGUGUGAAGUGUUUUUAGCAUUUUUUAUAGGAUUUUAGAACACAUUUAUCAUGCAUUUUGGUUCAUAUUUUACUUCUUUGAAAACCUUAAAUAUAACCAUUUGAAACAUAAAAGGACCAUAUUGAUCAAAAUUUCAAAAUUUAUGAACCAAAAAUGCAAAAUUAAAACUUUUGACUAACUCCAAUUUGAUUUUGAUCAUCAAAUUUUGUAAUUUUUCGUUAAUUGUCCAAAACAUGCAUAAAAUUAGAAACUCUAAGGGCCACAUAUGCUUUGGAUGAAACAUUAGGAACUAAUUUAGAACAUCAACCAAACAUUAGAGACCAAAAUUGUAAUUCUCCCUAGAAUUAAAUUUAUGUUGACAUAUAUGUGGCACGUUAUUGGAUGUUCAGCUAUGAGUGCUGAUUUAUGGCAAUGAAGUUAUGCUUUUUUAUAUAUAAAAAUAAAAAUAUAGUUAAAGAAUUGAAUUUAAAACAAAUAAUUUGCCAUUUAGAAGAAAGAUUAAGAAAUCAAGCUGCUAAACGCCAAACUUAUAUUUUUUUUGGCCCGGGGGAGGGGGGGGGGGUGUUGGGGUGUUAUUCAUUGUGUGCUCGCUUGGAAUCGUUGUCCUAAAAUUUUCUUCUGUCCUAUUUGUCCUGUGUUUACACAGCUGUCACAUGUGUUGAUUGCAUUGAUGACUCAAGCAAACCUUUAAUUGUUGAUCGAGUUUGUAUCAAUUUGGUUGAGUUAUCAAUGCAUCAAUACACGUGACAGUUCGUAAACACGAGACAAACGGGAUAGAAGUAAUUUGAGAGCAGAGGAUUUGAAGCGUUGUGUACUUGACCCUUAUUAACAGAAACCGUUUACAACCUUUUUUUUGUGCCAGUUACAGAAACUCCCAAGGAAACUGUCCAUUCACAAGCUAUAACCAAAAUACAAGAAAAUGAUAACAAAAUACCAAGGGGAGAAAAAGGCAAUAAAAAAUUUUCUAUAAGAGAAAGAAGCAGGCUCAAAGAUGCUAUGACUUCUUGCCAAACCAGCGAGAACUGCAGCCAUAGACAUCGCAAAAAGCUUGAAAAGCUAGCAGCACCACUAUUAAUACAUAAAGAAAAAUUCUGACACAAACUUCUGAUGGUCUAAAAUGUUGCCUCAGAUAUGUCCACAUUUUGAUCCUGAAUGAAUCAUCAUAUCCUUUAUUCAAUUCAUCAAUGG
This 19132-nucleotide long non-coding RNA is filed under the name Coffea arabica (coffee). RNAcentral describes it as "long non-coding RNA (CARA_LNC002689)". The record is from RNAcentral. Lineage: Eukaryota; Viridiplantae; Streptophyta; Magnoliopsida; Gentianales; Rubiaceae.